CACAAGCAGCGGAGCGUGUGGUUUAAUUCGUUGCUACACGAAGAACCUUACCUGGGUUUGACAUAUAGGUUGUAGGGAACUGAAAAGGGACGACCCUUCGGGAGCCUAUACAGGUGUUGCAUGGCUGUCGUCAGCUCGUGUCGUGAGAUGUUCGGUUAAGUCCGCUAACGAGCGCAACCCUCACUGUGUGUUAUAUGUGUCACACGGGACCGCCGGUCUUAAGCCGGAGGAAGGUGGGAUGACGUCAAGUCAGCAUGGCCUUUAUAUCCUGGGCUACACGCACGCUACAAUGGCCAACACAAUAGGUUGCUAAGCCGCGAGGUGGAGCCAAUCCAUAAAGUUGGUCUCAGUUCAGAUUGUAGGCUGCAACCCGCCUGCAUGAAGAUGGAGUUGCUAGUAACCGCAGGUCAGCUAUACUGCGGUGAAUACGUUCCCGGGGCUU
RNAcentral lists this ribosomal RNA (442 nucleotides) under uncultured Anaerolineaceae bacterium. RNAcentral describes it as "bacterial SSU rRNA". It matches the Rfam family "Bacterial small subunit ribosomal RNA", at positions 924 to 1382 of the family's 1533-position model. The record is from RNAcentral. Lineage: Bacteria; Bacillati; Chloroflexota; Anaerolineae; Anaerolineales; Anaerolineaceae.